GGUGCUAUAGUGUAGUGGUCAUCACUCGGGAUUUUGAUAUCAGCAUAUUCCCGAAACCCAGGUUCGAACCCUGGUAGCACCU
Amanita rubescens is the source of this 82-nucleotide non-coding RNA. The record is from the annotation of a GenBank genome assembly. Lineage: Eukaryota; Fungi; Basidiomycota; Agaricomycetes; Agaricales; Amanitaceae.